This 1218-nucleotide ribosomal RNA is filed under the name Blaps nitens. RNAcentral describes it as "SSU rRNA". It matches the Rfam family "Eukaryotic small subunit ribosomal RNA", at positions 32 to 1195 of the family's 1831-position model. Lineage: Eukaryota; Metazoa; Arthropoda; Insecta; Coleoptera; Tenebrionidae. The record is from RNAcentral.
UUGUCUCAAAGAUUAAGCCAUGCAUGUCUCAGUACAAGCCAAAUUAAGGUGAAACCGCGAAAGGCUCAUUAAAUCAGUUAUGGUUCCUUAGAUCGUACCCACAUUUACUUGGAUAACUGUGGUAAUUCUAGAGCUAACACAUGCAAACAGAGCUCCAACCGGAAACGGAAGGGGCGCUUUUAUUAGAUCAAAACCAAUCGGUGGCGGUUUCCGUCAUCGUACAACUUGGUGACUCUGAAUAACUUUACGCUGAUCGCACGGUCUCGCACCGGCGACGCAUCUUUCAAAUGUCUGCCUUAUCAACUGUCGAUGGUAGGUUCUGCGCCUACCAUGGUCGUAACGGGUAACGGGGAAUCAGGGUUCGAUUCCGGAGAGGGAGCCUGAGAAACGGCUACCACAUCCAAGGAAGGCAGCAGGCGCGCAAAUUACCCACUCCCGGCACGGGGAGGUAGUGACGAAAAAUAACGAUACGGGACUCAUCCGAGGCCCCGUAAUCGGAAUGAGUACACUCUAAACCCUUUAACGAGGAUCAAUUGGAGGGCAAGUCUGGUGCCAGCAGCCGCGGUAAUUCCAGCUCCAAUAGCGUAUAUUAAAGUUGUUGCGGUUAAAAAGCUCGUAGUCGAAUCUGUGUCCCACGCCGCCGGUUCAUCGUUCGCGGUGUUAACUGGCGUGUCGCGGGACGUCCUGCCGGUGGGCUUAGCUCGAGAGGGCGGUCCAACUCAAUCCCGCCGCGGUGCUCUUCACUGAGUGUCGAGGUGGGCCGGCACGUUUACUUUGAACAAAUUAGAGUGCUUAAAGCAGGCUAAAACUUCGCCUGAAUACUGUGUGCAUGGAAUAAUGGAAUAGGACCUCGGUUCUAUUUUGUUGGUUUUCGGAACCCCGAGGUAAUGAUUAAUAGGAACGGAUGGGGGCAUUCGUAUUGCGACGUUAGAGGUGAAAUUCUUGGAUCGUCGCAAGACGGACAGAAGCGAAAGCAUUUGCCAAAAACGUUUUCAUUGAUCAAGAACGAAAGUUAGAGGUUCGAAGGCGAUCAGAUACCGCCCUAGUUCUAACCAUAAACGAUGCCAGCUAGCGAUCCGCCGACGUUCCUCCGAUGACUCGGCGGGCAGCUUCCGGGAAACCAAAGCUUUUGGGUUCCGGGGGAAGUAUGGUUGCAAAGCUGAAACUUAAAGGAAUUGACGGAAGGGCACCACCAGGAGUGGAGCCUGCGGCUUAAUU